Molecule: ribosomal RNA, 254 nt
Filed under: uncultured bacterium
Lineage: Bacteria
Description: partial 16S ribosomal RNA
Rfam family: Bacterial small subunit ribosomal RNA
Source: RNAcentral
UACGUAGGGUGCAAGCGUUAAUCGGAAUUACUGGGCGUAAAGCGUGCGCAGGCGGUUUUGUAAGUCUGUCGUGAAAGCCCCGGGCUCAACCUGGGAAUUGCGAUGGAGACUGCAAGGCUUGAAUCUGGCAGAGGGGGGUAGAAUUCCACGUGUAGCAGUGAAAUGCGUAGAGAUGUGGAGGAACACCGAUGGCGAAGGCAGCCCCCCUGGGUCAAGAUUGACGCUCAUGCACGAAAGCGUGGGGAGCAAACAGG